CAGGUUUCACAAUGUCAUAAAUUUAAGGAGGCCAGAAAUGUCUUGCAAAUAAUUUGUUCCCCUUGGUUACGUUUGAAAAUGAAUAUGGGGACACUGAAGCAGCUUAUAGAGAUGGAGGAAAGCCCUAUGCUAUGUGGGCUGCAAGAAUGGCUCUUUCUCAGGAUAUAGGUGUGCCAUGGACAAUGUGCCAGCAAUAUGAUGCUCCUGACCCUGUGAAUGCUGGACCAUUUUAUGAAUGGGUAGGAGCAGGACUCACCAGUGUCAAGAUUGAGGGUUUUACAAGUGGAACCAUCGACUUAUCUCAAAGUUCUUGGGUCUACAAGGUUCGAUCCACAUUAACUUGACAUGGCAGAGAUAUGACAAAGUGCAACAUUUUGGACUUAAAAAUGAAGUUCCAGAUGCGGGUCCAGCCCACUGUCCUCCAGUGUCCAGUUAACAUAGGUUUUUUAUAAUCUGGGUACUAACCUAGCUUCUGCUCAUUCAUGGGAAGAAUCAUGGUCACUGCUUUGGUAUAUGUGUGUAAUUUUUUCUGCAUGCAUGAUUAACAACUUAGCAAACGGGGUUGAAUUGUGAAACAUGAUUUAUGUAGCCUACCCCAUUUAGUUUGGUGAAGGCAUAGUUCUGUUGAGCAUGAUUCAACGACAACAACUUAACACAGCAUGGUAUCUUGUUUUGUAUUUGUA
Macadamia integrifolia is the source of this 683-nucleotide long non-coding RNA. RefSeq lists it as uncharacterized. NCBI's taxonomy places the organism in Eukaryota, Viridiplantae, Streptophyta, Magnoliopsida, Proteales, Proteaceae. The record is from RefSeq and is a predicted model, not a curated record. The transcript has 4 exons.